This 419-nucleotide ribosomal RNA is filed under the name uncultured bacterium. RNAcentral's name for it is "partial 16S ribosomal RNA". It matches the Rfam family "Bacterial small subunit ribosomal RNA", at positions 362 to 773 of the family's 1533-position model. The record is from RNAcentral.
UAUUGGACAAUGGGGGCAACCCUGAUCCAGCCAUCCCGCGUGUGCGAUGAAGGCCUUCGGGUUGUAAAGCACUUUUGGCAGGGAAGAAAAGGCUCUGGCUAAUACCUGGAGCUGCUGACGGUACCUGCAGAAUAAGCACCGGCUAACUACGUGCCAGCAGCCGCGGUAAUACGUAGGGGGGAAGCGUUAAUCGGAAUUACUGGGCGUAAAGCGUGCGCAGGCGGGUCGGGAAGAAGGAAGGGGAAUCCCAGGGCUUAAACUUGGAACUGCAUUCUUAACUGCCGGGCUAGAGUAUGUCAGAGGGGGGUAGAAUUCCGCGUGUAGCAGUGAAAUGCGUAGAGAUGCGGAGGAAUACCGAUGGCGAAAGCAGCCCCCUGGGAUAAUACUGACGCUCAUGCACGAAAGCGUGGGGAGCAAAC